UUGUGGUGAAAUCUACAUAACGUAAAACUGACCAUUGUCACCAUUUCUAAGGGCACAAUUCAGGGACAUUAAGCACAUUCACAUCGCUGUGCAGCCGUCCCCACCAGCCACCUCUAGCUCUUCAUCUUCCCCCGUGGAAACGCUGCCCUGUUACACAUGAACUCCCUGACCCCAUGCUUCUGCUGGGAGCCUGUGUGAGAGCUGCCUCCCACCCAGGUACCCAGGUACCCAGGAGCUACAGCCGAGGUGCCAUCUCUGCAGACAUGCAUGGGGUACAGGGUGGCCUUGUGUCCUAGCUCCAAACUCUCCUGGUGUGGCCCUGGGUGGAGCUGAGAACAGCUGUUCCCCUCUGAAGAAAGGGGAUCUGUCUGAUGUCGGUCAUCUUUUUUUUUUUAAGAUUUUAUUUAUUUAUUUAUUUAUUUAUUUAUUUAUUUAUUUGAGAGAGAGACUACAAACGAGGAGGGGCAGAGGGAGAGGGACUAGCAGACUCCCCACUUGAGCAGGGAGCCCUCCAUGGGUCUCAAUCCCAGGACCCCAAGAUCAUGAUCUGAGCCAAAGUCAGACCCUUGAUUGACUGAGCCACCCAGGCGCCCUGUCACUCAUCUUCAUGGUGGUCACAGCUGACAUGUGUGUUGCACCUGUGUCCCCAGCACUGUCCUGAAGCCCCUGCACACCGUUCAUGUCCUUCAGCCACCUUUGGUCUCAUCCUUACUGAACGGAUGCAGCAGGAUGCAGCAGAAGCCAGUUUCACUAAUCCCCACCCUGGACUGUGGGGUGAAGAAGGAGAGACUCUCAGAGGCUGGGCUGGGGUUUUUCUUAGUUUGUGUUAGUCCCAAUCCCCACAAUGACUUGCAAGGACCAUAGAUAUUUCAUUGCCCAUUUUGCAUCUGAGAAAACAGGCGCAGAGAAAUGAAAUCUCGGGGUAUGUUGCUUCUGGACCAGGAUGAGGGGCGAAGCGGGGAUUCCUGCACGAGCUGGGGGCCGGUGGCUGCUGCAUGGUCGCGCGUCCCGCUGCCUCUGCUGCAGGUGCGUGUGGCUGGGUGGCAGGAGGGGGAUGGGGAGCUCACUCCCCUGCCUCUGGCUCUAGCCCCUGCUCACACAGCCCAUGUGAGCUAGUUCUGGGCUGCCAUGGCUCAAGGCUGUGCUGGGUUCCAAGACCCUUUGAUACUUGGGUCACCGACACCAGCCUAUACAGGUGUUUCUCCCUGCCCCUGUGCAUUUUCUCUCUGCCACACACACACACACACACACACACACACAAAUAUAUACUUGUACACCCAUGUUCAUAGCAACAUAAUUCACAAUAGCCAAAAGGUAGAAAAAAAGCAAAUAUCCAUUGACAGAUGAUGGAUAAGCAAAAUAUAUAUCUAUACAAUGGAAUAUUAUUCAGCCUUAGAAAGAAAGUCCUGAUAAGCUACCAGGUGAAUGAACUUUGAGGAUCCUGUGCUAAGUGAAAUAAGCCAGUCACAGAAGGACCAUGACUGUACGAUUCCAAUUGCAUGAGGUCCCUGGAGUGGUCUAAUUAAUAGAGACCGAAGGUGGAAUGCUGGGGACCAGGGCCUGGGAGGAGGAUGAGGGGAGAUGGUGUCUAAUAGGGAGAGACUCACUCUUGCCAGAUGAAAAGGGAUCUGGAGAUGGGUGGUGGGGAUGAGAGCACAACAAUGUGAGUGUACUUGAUGUCACUGAACUGCACACUUAAAUGUGGGUAAAGUUGUGAAUCUUUUUUUUAAAGAUUUAUCUAUUUAUUCAUGAAAGACACAGAGAGAGAGGCAGAGACACAGGCAGAGGGAGAAGCAGGCUCCAUGUGAGGAGCCUGAUGUGGAACUUGAUCCCAGGACCCCGGGACCAUGACCCGAGCCAAAGGCAGAUGCUCAACCACUGAGCCACCCAGGCAUCUCUAAAAUUGUAAAUCUUAUGUAUAUUUUACCACAAUAAUAAAAAAAAAAGUCAGUGAAGGGAACCCUUCUUUUAAUGUUGAUUAACCGACUCUAUUUCCUGUUUUGUGAGUUUUCUCUUGACGUUCACUUAUACCCAAGUUCCCAGUUAUCUGGAUGAGUGGAGGGGCCAUUUCAGCAAUCCUGGGCAGUGUCCUCACUGGGCCUUCUUCAGGCCCCUGUGUGGGGUCCCUGGGGGUCAGUGGAGGAGUGAAGGGGAGGAAGGUGCAGGAAGAAGCUCUUGGGCAGUGUUGGGAGGGAGGAGCCCUCUGGAGGAAUCGGGCUUCUUCAGGCCUGUCAUCAUAAUCCAGUGGGCUGGAGGCAGGAUGCUAAGGAGAAGCCCUUCUCUGAGAGGGGCCCUGACCCCUAGAAGGUGUUCACGGAACCCAGCUGUCUGGCCUCCGAGGGUCAAGCUGCCUCCUCUCUGGGCCGGAGCUGGACUGAACACCCAGCAAGACACUCUAGGGCCUUAUUCCCUGUGUUCCAAGAUCUGCCAUCUGGAGUCCUGCCAUCCGGACAACUAAUCUCUAAGACAGGUGGGAUUACCUCGUGCAUCACAAAACCUUGGGAGGGUUUCUAGAAAGUACAUGCACUUUCUCCAUAUGCAUUUCCAUCUCUAGUACCUGUUCCAGAGGUCUCAGCCCACAGUCUGGGGGAUCCAGAGCCCCCAUCAGGCUGCAGCUUAGUUCUGGUCAGGCCCUGCCACCAGAGGGCAGUGCAGCCUAUAGGAGGUACUGUUCCCAGAGUUCCUGGUUCCAGUCCAGGACUGACCCCUUGGGAGGACCAUCCCCAAGGCCUUGGCAGACACUUUUAGCUCAGAUCUAGAAGCG
This 2764-nucleotide long non-coding RNA is filed under the name Canis lupus familiaris (dog). Its description in RNAcentral is "lncRNA (ENSCAFG00030020830.1)". The record is from RNAcentral. Lineage: Eukaryota; Metazoa; Chordata; Mammalia; Carnivora; Canidae.